RNAcentral lists this ribosomal RNA (253 nucleotides) under uncultured bacterium. RNAcentral's name for it is "partial 16S ribosomal RNA". It matches the Rfam family "Bacterial small subunit ribosomal RNA", at positions 524 to 776 of the family's 1533-position model. The record is from RNAcentral.
UACAGAGGGGGCCAGCGUUAUUCGGAAUUAUUGGGCGUAAAGGGCGCGUAGGCGGCCAUGCGUGUCUCCCGUGAAAUCCCUCGGCUCAACCGAGGACGUGCGGAAGAAACUGCAAGGCUCGAGUCCGGAAGAGGGGGGCGGAAUUCCCAGUGUAGCGGUGAAAUGCGUAGAUAUUGGGAGGAACACCAGUGGCGAAGGCGGUCCCCUGGGCCGGAACUGACGCUGGGGCGCGAAAGCGUGGGUAGCAAACGGG